RNAcentral lists this ribosomal RNA (495 nucleotides) under uncultured fungus. RNAcentral's name for it is "eukaryotic LSU rRNA". The stretch from base 165 to 319 matches the Rfam family "5.8S ribosomal RNA". The record is from RNAcentral. Lineage: Eukaryota; Fungi.
GGGGGCAUGUGCACGCUCUGUUUGCACAUCCACUCACACCUGUGCACUCUCUGUAGUUCUGUGGCCCCGGGGGACCCCGUCCCUCCGCCGUGGUUCUAUGUUUUUAUACACACCCUGUAGUAAAGUCUUAUGGAACGUGUGCCGCGUUUAACGCAAUGAAAUACAACUUUCAGCAACGGAUCUCUUGGCUCUCGCAUCGAUGAAGAACGCAGCGAAAUGCGAUAAGUAAUGUGAAUUGCAGAAUUCAGUGAAUCAUCGAAUCUUUGAACGCACCUUGCGCCCCUUGGCUAUUCCGAAGGGCAUGCCUGUUUGAGUAUCAUGAACACCUUCAACCCUCGUGGUUUUCCACGAUCGGCUUGGACUUUGGAGGUUUUGCUGGCUCCCCUGUGGUCGGCUCCUCUCAAACGAAUCAGCUUACCAGCGUUUGGUGGCGUCUCAGGUGUGAUAACUAUCUACGCUUGCGGCCGUCCGCCACGCGACCUUCGGCGAUGAGGG